This 446-nucleotide ribosomal RNA is filed under the name uncultured bacterium. RNAcentral's name for it is "bacterial SSU rRNA". It matches the Rfam family "Bacterial small subunit ribosomal RNA", at positions 329 to 792 of the family's 1533-position model. The record is from RNAcentral.
UGCCAGACUCCUACGGGAGGCAGCAGUGGGGAAUAUUGGGCGAUGGGGGAAACCCUGACCCAGCGACGCCGCGUGAGGGAAGAAGGUUUUCGGAUUGUAAACCUCUGUCCUUGGUGACGAUAAUGACGGUAGCCAAGGAGGAAGCCACGGCUAACUACGUGCCAGCAGCCGCGGUAAUACGUAGGUGGCAAGCGUUAUCCGGAUUUACUGGGUGUAAAGGGCGUGUAGGCGGGACUGCAAGUCAGAUGUGAAAAUUAUGGGCUCAACCCAUAACCUGCAUUUGAAACUGUGUUUCUUGAGUACUGGAGAGGCAGACGGAAUUCCUAGUGUAGCGGUGAAAUGCGUAGAUAUUAGGAGGAACACCAGUGGCGAAGGCGGUCUGCUGGACAGCAACUGACGCUGAGGCGCGAAAGCGUGGGGAGCAAACAGGAUUAGAUACCCUAGUA